CGUAAUUACAGUUUUGCACUAUUUACGUUUAACGUUUGACCGUUCGUUUUAUUUGAAAAUUUUUUAUGAUCAGUAUUUUUAUUGCUAUUAGAUGAUAAAACAUGAAUAAUACUUUAUGUGUGACUAAAUAUUUUUAAAUUUUUCACAAAUUUUUCAAAUAAGACGGACGGUCAAACGUUGAACACGGAUAUCUAUGGCUGCACUUAUU
Molecule: microRNA precursor, 208 nt
Filed under: Oryza sativa Indica Group (long-grained rice)
Lineage: Eukaryota; Viridiplantae; Streptophyta; Magnoliopsida; Poales; Poaceae
Description: MIR812 microRNA precursor family
Rfam family: MIR812 microRNA precursor family
Source: Rfam by way of RNAcentral